UUAAGUUAUUAAGGGCGCACGGUGGAUGCCUUGGCACUAGAAGCCGAUGAAGGACGUUACUAACGACGAUAUGCUUUGGGUAGCUGUAAGUAAGCGUUGAUCCAGAGAUUUCCGAAUGGGGGAACCCAGCAUGAGUUAUGUCAUGUUAUCGACAUGUGAAUUCAUAGCAUGUCAGAAGGCAGACCCGGAGAACUGAAACAUCUUAGUACCCGGAGGAAGAGAAAGAAAAAUCGAUUCCCUGAGUAGCGGCGAGCGAAACGGGAAGAGCCCAAACCAACAAGCUUGCUUGUUGGGGUUGUAGGACACUCUAUACGGAGUUACAAAAGAACAUGUUAGACGAAUCAUCUGGAAAGAUGAAUCAAAGAAGGUAAUAAUCCUGUAGUCGAAAACAUAUUCUCUCUUGAGUGGAUCCUGAGUACGACGGAGCACGUGAAAUUCCGUCGGAAUCUGGGAGGACCAUCUCCUAAGGCUAAAUACUCUCUAGUGACCGAUAGUGAACCAGUACCGUGAGGGAAAGGUGAAAAGUACCCCGGAAGGGGAGUGAAAGAGAACUUGAAACCGUGUGCUUACAAGUAGUCAGAGCCCGUUAAUGGGUGAUGGCGUGCCUUUUGUAGAAUGAACCGGCGAGUUACGAUCUGAUGCAAGGUUAAGCAGCAAAUGUGGAGCCGCAGCGAAAGCGAGUCUGAAUAGGGCGUUGAGUAUUUGGUCGUAGACCCGAAACCAGGUGAUCUACCCUUGGUCAGGUUGAAGUUCAGGUAACACUGAAUGGAGGACCGAACCGACUUACGUUGAAAAGUGAGCGGAUGAACUGAGGGUAGCGGAGAAAUUCCAAUCGAACUUGGAGAUAGCUGGUUCUCUCCGAAAUAGCUUUAGGGCUAGCCUCAAGUGAUGAUUAUUGGAGGUAGAGCACUGUUUGGACGAGGGGCCCCUCUCGGGUUACCGAAUUCAGACAAACUCCGAAUGCCAAUUAAUUUAACUUGGGAGUCAGAACAUGGGUGAUAAGGUCCGUGUUCGAAAGGGAAACAGCCCAGACCACCAGCUAAGGUCCCAAAAUAUAUGUUAAGUGGAAAAGGAUGUGGCGUUGCCCAGACAACUAGGAUGUUGGCUUAGAAGCAGCCAUCAUUUAAAGAGUGCGUAAUAGCUCACUAGUCGAGUGACACUGCGCCGAAAAUGUACCGGGGCUAAACAUAUUACCGAAGCUGUGGAUUGUCCUUUGGACAAUGGUAGGAGAGCGUUCUAAGGGCGUCGAAGCAUGAUCGCAAGGACAUGUGGAGCGCUUAGAAGUGAGAAUGCCGGUGUGAGUAGCGAAAGACGGGUGAGAAUCCCGUCCACCGAUUGACUAAGGUUUCCAGAGGAAGGCUCGUCCGCUCUGGGUUAGUCGGGUCCUAAGCUGAGGCCGACAGGCGUAGGCGAUGGAUAACAGGUUGAUAUUCCUGUACCACCUAGUAUCGUUUUAAUCGAUGGGGGGACGCAGUAGGAUAGGCGAAGCGUGCUGUUGGAGUGCACGUCCAAGCAGUAAGGCUGAGUGUUAGGCAAAUCCGGCACUCAUAAGGCUGAGCUGUGAUGGGGAGAGGAAAUUGUUUCCUCGAGUCGCUGAUUUCACACUGCCGAGAAAAGCCUCUAGAUAGAUAACAGGUGCCCGUACCGCAAACCGACACAGGUAGUCAAGAUGAGAAUUCUAAGGUGAGCGAGCGAACUCUCGUUAAGGAACUCGGCAAAAUGACCCCGUAACUUCGGGAGAAGGGGUGCUCUUUAGGGUUCACGCCCAGAAGAGCCGCAGUGAAUAGGCCCAAGCGACUGUUUAUCAAAAACACAGGUCUCUGCUAAACCGUAAGGUGAUGUAUAGGGGCUGACGCCUGCCCGGUGCUGGAAGGUUAAGAGGAGUGGUUAGCUUCUGCGAAGCUACGAAUCGAAGCCCCAGUAAACGGCGGCCGUAACUAUAACGGUCCUAAGGUAGCGAAAUUCCUUGUCGGGUAAGUUCCGACCCGCACGAAAGGCGUAACGAUUUGGGCACUGUCUCAACGAG
Molecule: ribosomal RNA, 2026 nt
Filed under: Staphylococcus epidermidis
Lineage: Bacteria; Bacillati; Bacillota; Bacilli; Caryophanales; Staphylococcaceae
Also listed under: 2 other names
Description: bacterial LSU rRNA
Rfam family: Bacterial large subunit ribosomal RNA
Source: RNAcentral